This 2320-nucleotide long non-coding RNA is filed under the name Solanum lycopersicum (tomato). RNAcentral's name for it is "partial TCONS_00070532". Lineage: Eukaryota; Viridiplantae; Streptophyta; Magnoliopsida; Solanales; Solanaceae. The record is from RNAcentral.
AGUUGAUUUGUUUGAAAAUAAUUUGUAGAUGUAUAUAAUUGGUAUCGAAUUCCAUACUAAGGUUGUUUGUGACUGAUUUUUGUCUAAACAUAUAAUUGAGUUUUUUUUUCCGGUUAGUUAUAUCAUUUUUGUAUAUUUUACUGUUCGUUUUGUAUAUUAAAUAUAUUUUAUACAAUUUUAAAAAAAUGCACAAGUACCUUAGACCAUGAUCGAAUCAGAAGCACACCUUAACUAAACUAAGGUCUUAUUACUCUUCUAACUUAUUUUUUGGUAAUUUUGUGCAACUUUUUAGCUCACGUGGUAUCUAAUUAUCUUUCACGCAUCUCAAUUGCGUAAUGUCACGGUAUGUGCCACGUAAAUUAGUUCUGUUAUGUUAAUCAUUCUGAUUAUUUCUCAUUUUAUAUGAAUUGUUGUUGUUUUUUAUCCUCUUUAGAAUGAUUAUUUUUAUUAAUUUAAAUUUUGUGUAUGGUUAAUAAUUGAAAAAUCGAUCUGAACUAAACCAAAAUAAAUAACAAUCAAACCAAAUAAAUGAAUAUUAUACUUGGUUAGGUUUUGUUUUAAUAAAUCAAAAAUCGAAUAAAUUGAUUGGUUUUGUUUUCAACCAAUAACAUGUAGUGUCCCAUAUCUUGUAAAAUUGCGAAUUAGUCAUUUUACCUUCUCUUUGGCAAUUUCAUGCUUAAUUUGUGUUUCGAAAAUGAUUUAUGUGGUCCCAACCUAGUAGCUUAUUGCUGAAAAACGUUGCUAGGCUAGUCGUUAGACCUUACUGUGAUGUUAGCUUGUGGAGAGGCUUAUGUGAUACUGUUAACUGAUGUGCAAAGUCUGUGAUUCUUUAGAAAAUUGCCCGAGUUAGGGGCUUGAGUUGACUUAUGAACAUAUUAUAAUGAAAGAAAUGAUUUCAAAUGGAUUUCUCCACUAUCCAUAUCCUAACCUUUUGAUUUUGGGAAUUCGAUACUAUUUGCAAUUCUUAAAGAACUGAUUAUGCCUUGUGUUGUGAUGCAUGCAACUUUACGAGUUUCAAAAAAAAAGUAUGUGUUGUGAUGCAUUCCUCAUGAUGUAGCAUAUCAUUAUUUCAUGCAAAUAUGAAAAAGUGGAGUAGUACUGUCUUUUCAAGUAAAAAAUAUUGACACCUUACUUAUAUUAUUGACCACGCUGAGCUGGCAAGUUGCUUAUCUAACAAUGCAACUUGAAAAAAAUCUUAUGUUAUGUAUGAAGUGAGUUGAGCUUCAUGGAGAUCGUGCUGGCUGUGAUGAUCCAACCAUGGUGACUUACAUUGGGUGCAUUGAAGGUUGAAGUUAUCUCCUCAUUGGUCAUCAGAAAGAUUAUUGGAGAGUAUAUGCAGCAUUCAGUUGUUUGAAAGGAAUGUUCUUCACCUUGACGUUCAAAUAUUGAUUUGUUCAUUUAGAAUCUAUAGUCAUAAGGGCAUGUUUGGGCUGAAAGUUCCACAGUCCUAACUAAUGAAGGUGGUUCAAGCAGAGUUCUUGUCAUUGGAUGUGGUUAAUGUUCAACAUUUUAUGUUACUAGGUAAGUUUGGUUCAUUUGUACUUCUUCCAUAUUUUUGCUACUUAUCAGGCAUGUAACAAUAUGAAGAAAAAAGAAAAGUUCAAGUUUAAAAAUAAUUUAUCAACCAAAAACAUGUUUUAGCUUAAUAAUAUGGAUACAUUUUACGUAUGUUGCGCAUGGAUUUUUUAGUUGUUGCUUUUACACUUGUUGCAUUGUUUCCUUGAAUAUCUCCAUUUUUCUGUAUCUUUACAAAAUCUAUGCUUCUUUGAUCAGUCUUGUAGCUUGUGCUUCUAUAUUUUGAAAAUCUUUACAAGCAGGUCCAACCUCCAAAGAUACUAUAGUUGUUCAGGUUUGUGAAAAAGAUGGUUUAUCAGUACUAAAAUUCUGAUUGAAUAGGCAGCUGAUAGCUCAAGAACAUUAUAAACUUUGGGUAGCAGAUUCAAUUAUUCCAGUAAGUACCAUCUCUAUACUUAUUAAUUUGGUUUCGGAGUGGAAAAGAUUGGAACCUAUGGUAAAGGGUUGGUGAUGCCAAGUAGUGAGAAAGAAACAAUGUUUGGCUGGACUUUUGGAAGACGAAAGAAGAUGCAAAACAUAAGAUUAUCGCUCCCUUGUCACUUAUGUUGACAAAUGUUUUUGAUGAAGUAGAGAAGAAUUUUACAUAGUUCCUCAUCCCCUAUUUAUUUUUUGUGCACCACAAGUUUCUUGCUUCUUACAUGUAUAGAAGAUUGGAUUUAUUCGUAACUAUGCAUCUUUUGUAAGGUUGUCUAGAUUAUAUUUGAUAUUAUUCUUGUAAGGUGUUAUUGCCCUUCUUUUACUGUUG